This 253-nucleotide ribosomal RNA is filed under the name uncultured bacterium. Its description in RNAcentral is "partial 16S ribosomal RNA". It matches the Rfam family "Bacterial small subunit ribosomal RNA", at positions 524 to 776 of the family's 1533-position model. The record is from RNAcentral.
UACAGAGGGUGCGAGCGUUGUCCGGAAUCACUGGGCGUAAAGGGCGCGUAGGCGGCUUCUUAAGCGUGUGGUGAAAGCGCGGGGCUCAACCCCGCGUCGGCCGUGCGAACUGGGGAGCUGGAGCACGUCAGAGGCAGGCGGAAUUCCGGGUGUAGCGGUGGAAUGCGUAGAGAUCCGGAGGAACGCCGGUGGCGAAAGCGGCCACCUGGGUCUGACCUGACGCUGAGGUGCGAAAGCGUGGGGAGCAAACCGG